UUCCUGUCCUCUCAAAGAGGUUAAAUACUAUUUUCAUAAUGAGUUAUAAUUAAGAAGUUUUCUCAUGUCAAAUAUAAAAACAAAAUCAUAUAGUUCAUCGACUCACUUUAUGUCUUACCAGCUUUUUUAUUACAAAUUAUUGUUCAGUCAACACUUGAAAGUGUGUCCCAUUUUUUCCUAAGGUUUACCAAUAGAUGAUGAUAUUGAUGAUGAAAUGUUUGAUGAUGACCAUUUAAAGGUUUAUUUUGAACAACUGGCAAUUCCAGGAGUGAUGGAAUUAAACAUAUGAAGAUCUAGAAGGACUGGAGCCUUCAGAAAAAGAUCGGACAUUACCUGCAAGUGCUCCUAGUCAGGAAUGUUCCAGUCUUUGUGGCUUUUCCGAAAUUUGACAUUAGAAAAUCACUAUUGUUCUCACUGGAUGUUCACAUGAAAUUUAAGCCUCUGGUUUUCUCUGGACUCCAUUUUUUUCCAGGCAAAUGAAAACCGCAGUUUAAACUCUAAGUUUCAAUCAGAAUCUAACAGCUCCUGGAUUUCCCGUGGCUCACACUCUUCUGAAACAACUCACAAAGAGCCUGAGGAAGCAGCUCUCCCUUAUCAGUGGGCCAGUUUAUUUGUCUCCCUGGGACUAGUAAGUACUGAAAUGGUUCUUUUGUUCUUAAAUUCUAAGUUUGACUUUACCUUUAAAAAAUUAUUUCUUUGGUAUGAUUUAGUAUGUAUUAACCCUUCCACUCCCUCAAGUCUAAAACUUUUCAAAAGAAUUUUUAAUAAUACCUGAGUAAAUUGGUGUUAUUAGAAAUACCAUAGUCGGUAUUUCUUGGGCUGAAUGUUAUGAAUGAUUGUGUUCUACCCAGACAUCGAGAAUUAGAUGUGAAUUCUCUCAUAUGGUAGCAGUUUAUCAUGUUUAUUGUUGCCUCUUACUGUUGCAUAUUUUCUCUCUGGGCAUUUUGUGCAAUAUGUCAUAUGAAUGCUAAGUAUUAGGUUUACAUAAAAGAAUAUUUUGAUGAGAAGGAUGCAGUUAUUAUAUUAGAUUGCUCAGAUUGGACAUUGCUCCAUUAACUGUAUUUUUCAGGUAAUUCUGUAGUUACUGGAGGUAGUAGAAGGCACACAGAUCAUGCCAUUUCCCUCUAGUACUUGGAUAACUGAGAAAGAAAUGGCAGAAAAUUGUGAGUGGUAUUUCCAGCUCCUAACAGAGUAAGUUAUGCUUUUUCCUUAGACGUCCUAUGAAAGGGAAUAAGGAGUCCUUUGCAUUUGUAUGAUAUCAGUUUAUUUCCAAAGAAACAAUUGCUGUUGACAUCUGAAAACUAUAGAAAAAGUAUAAAAAUUACUACCAAUAAUGUUUCGUAUGUUUGUAAGUUUCUUUCCCAUAAUUUUCUUACAUUUAAAUAUUUAAUGUCUUGUGUUUAGAUCAUUCAUGUGGAAAGCUCUUUGGCCCAGCGUCAAAACAUUAAAUAAAAAGCAAACAGACCUUUA
Molecule: long non-coding RNA, 1470 nt
Filed under: Macaca fascicularis (crab-eating macaque)
Lineage: Eukaryota; Metazoa; Chordata; Mammalia; Primates; Cercopithecidae
Description: lncRNA (ENSMFAG00000057258.1)
Source: RNAcentral